This is a non-coding RNA of Phasianus colchicus (ring-necked pheasant), 944 nucleotides long. NCBI's taxonomy places the organism in Eukaryota, Metazoa, Chordata, Aves, Galliformes, Phasianidae. The record is from RefSeq and is a predicted model, not a curated record.
GCUGACUACCAGUGGGGAAGGAUCUCUUCUGGAGAUCCACUCUACUGGAGUUUCAUAAGUAAGCCCAGGAUACGGGAGAAGGGACAGGGACAAAUUGACUGGAUUGCCUACAUCUUUGCAGUUGGUUAGUGGCAAAAGCAGCAAGCCAAUCUAAGAGUCUUAAAUUAUGAUCACUUAGAAGAUGGAUCACCACUUGGAAAGAGCCACAAUAUUGAGUCUUUGUCUCUGCAUGCUGGAAUGGGGCCUCGCUCUUUUGUUCUGCCUAUCUGCUAAGUUUCCCCACCCCAGGCAAGAAAACAGAAAACAUUUGCUGCUGAGAGAAUAUCACCUUGAAGAUAAUUUUCUUUCUUCCCAGAAUGAGUUAUCUAAAUAUUACUGCCAUAGCAUUUGGCCAUUUUAAGGUUUGCAGGGCUAUAAAACUUUUGAUCAUCCCAAGGAGGGGGGACGAGCUGAAGGACAUCUCUUCUUUUUGAUGAAGCACAGAGGAAAAAGAACAGCAUAACAGAAAGACUAUUUAUAGAGGCUGCUUGCCAAGUCAAAGCCCAGGCCUUUAAUUACAUUUGUGCACGAUGUGGCCGCAUUUAAUAAAGGUCUAGAUGCAGUAUCAUCUUCUAUUUGACUUAUUAGCGUUUGCCUUUUCUCUGUAAAAUCUGGCACCUGUUGAUGUGAUUGACCAUGAGUACGAGUGCAGAUAGAUCAGGGCUGAAAGUCACUCAAUGUCACAAGCUCAUUUAACGUAACCCUUCUAAAACUGUCAUAGUUCUGCCUACUUGUGGAGCAUUCACUGGUGAUUGCAGGUUGCUUUGUGUCCUCAGAGUGCCGUGGUUAGAUAGGUAGGCUAUGGUACCUUAUGGGACUAUGAUGUGGGUGGCAGCUGUUAGGGGUUUAAGUAUGAGAACUGAUCAGUCUCUUUUGGAGCAUUUUGUUGUGGUCAGGGUUUGAUU